Molecule: ribosomal RNA, 492 nt
Filed under: uncultured bacterium
Lineage: Bacteria
Description: partial 16S ribosomal RNA
Rfam family: Bacterial small subunit ribosomal RNA
Source: RNAcentral
AUUGAACGCUGGCGGCAUGCUUUACACAUGCAAGUUGAACGGUAACAGGCCUUCGGGUGCUGACGAGUGGCGAACGGGUGAGUAAUGCAUCGGAACGUACCCAGAGGUGGGGGAUAACGCAGCGAAAGCUGUGCUAAUACUGCAUGUGAUCUGAGGAUGAAAGCGGGGGACCGAGCAGCAAUGUUUGGCCUCGCGCCUUUGGAGCGGCCGAUGUCGGAUUAGCUAGUUGGUGGGGUAAAGGCCUACCAAGGCGACGAUCCGUAGCUGGUCUGAGAGGACGACCAGCCACACUGGGACUGAGACACGGCCCAGACUCCUACGGGAGGCAGCAGUGGGGAAUUUUGGACAAUGGGCGCAAGCCUGAUCCAGCAAUGCCGCGUGCGGGAAGAAGGCCUUCGGGUUGUAAACCGCUUUUGGCAGGAACGAAACGGUGUCCGCUAAUACCGGGCGCUAAUGACGGUACCUGCAGAAUAAGCACCGGCUAACUACGUG